RNAcentral lists this ribosomal RNA (253 nucleotides) under uncultured bacterium. Its description in RNAcentral is "partial 16S ribosomal RNA". It matches the Rfam family "Bacterial small subunit ribosomal RNA", at positions 524 to 776 of the family's 1533-position model. The record is from RNAcentral.
UACGGAGGAUGCAAGCGUUAUCCGGGAUGAUUGGGCGUAAAGCGUCCGCAGGUGGCAAUGUAAGUCUGCUGUCAAAGCGUCUGGCUCAACCAGAUAAAGGCAGUGGAAACUACAUAGCUAGAGUAAGGUAGGGGUAGAGGGAAUUCCUGGUGUAGCGGUGAAAUGCGUAGAGAUCAGGAAGAACACCGGUGGCGAAAGCGCUCUGCUGGACCUUAACUGACACUGAGGGACGAAAGCUAGGGGAGCGAAUGGG